Molecule: long non-coding RNA, 378 nt
Organism: Megalobrama amblycephala (Wuchang bream)
Lineage: Eukaryota; Metazoa; Chordata; Actinopteri; Cypriniformes; Xenocyprididae
Exons: 4
Source: RefSeq, a predicted model, not a curated record
CUUAAUGUUAACGUUACUUUUCUUCUUUGCACAGAUAGCGUUCAUCUAUGGAGAAAGAUAAAGGGUCCUUUGGUGUGCCUUUUAUUGACGAAAGAGUCACUUGCAACAUUAGACGAUGGAAUGUGGCUGAAUGACAUUGUCAUGGACAUUGUAUUGAGGUCUGUUCAUGAUGAACUAGGACGUCAUAAAAGACGGAAAUCUUUGAUCUACCCAGUGCAUUUUUACACUAAAUUGAAAAACAGUGGAUUUUCAGGUGUCGUCAACUGGACAAAACAUGAGGAAAUUUUUCGAAAGGACUAUCUUUUGAUAGUCGAGAACGUUCUUGGGUGAGAACUUUACAUUAUUUACUGGUUGUUAUGACUUAUUACACAGCUAAGA